GGCAAAAAGACUAAAGGCAUGCGUGGCUUGUUCACGCACGCACGAAUGCUGGUGAAGGUAAUUAAAUCACCUUCACACAAUGUUCUUGUGACACUGAAUUACUUUUUGAAAUGAAGAUGCAAAGGGGACGAAGUUGCUUCUGGAGACCGAAGAUGCUUGCAGCGUUGAUGAUGAUUCUCACCUACUGCUUCCUCUGGUCUUCCUUCUGUAACCACUUGUCCAAAGACAAUUUCAAGGAUAAUUCUCCUCACUAUGUGCUACCCUCUUGUUCUCUCUUUCUCUAUGUAUUUGGAUUUGUGCUCUGUUUUCUCUGCUGUUUUUUUUUGUUCUUAACUCUGUUUUUCUGGGUUGAUUUUUCGGCUCUCUUUUUUCCUCCUUGUUCUAGGUUUUCUUCCUCCUUUUAUAGACUCCCCAACCACUUCCUUUAACCAGGACUGUUAUCUUCCCCGACGAGAUUGUGGGUGAGAGACGCGGUCCAUGAUUGGAUCGACUUUGUUGCAGAUCUUCAGCCUGUUGAAUCAGGAUGGAGAAGACAAACACGGUUGUUCCACCUGCAACGGCGACGUUUCAGCAGCAAUGGAUUCUUUCAUUUUGACCCCUGAACUUUGGAAAUUCAACAAAUGGACCCCUAAGCAAUUAAAAAUUUCUUUUAAUUUUUCCCUUUUGGAUUAAUUUCAAUUAAAUCGCUAAAUUGGUACACUGUUUACAAAACAGUCCUUAAUUCCUGGAUUAUUCAAUUUGAUCCUUAAUUAAUUCUUU
Populus euphratica (Euphrates poplar) is the source of this 759-nucleotide long non-coding RNA. RefSeq lists it as uncharacterized. The record is from RefSeq and is a predicted model, not a curated record. NCBI's taxonomy places the organism in Eukaryota, Viridiplantae, Streptophyta, Magnoliopsida, Malpighiales, Salicaceae. The transcript is spliced from 2 exons.